Molecule: ribosomal RNA, 253 nt
Filed under: uncultured bacterium
Lineage: Bacteria
Description: partial 16S ribosomal RNA
Rfam family: Bacterial small subunit ribosomal RNA
Source: RNAcentral
UACGGGGGGGGCUAGCGUUGUUCGGAAUUACUGGGCGUAAAGGGCGCGUAGGCGGCACGGCAAGUCGGGAGUGAAAGGCCUGGGCUCAACCGAGGAACUGCUUUCGAGACUGCCGAGCUAGAGUGCGGAAGGGGCAACCGGAAUUCCCAGUGUAGCGGUGAAAUGCGUAGAUAUUGGGAAGAACACCUGAGGCGAAGGCGGGUUGCUGGGCCGACACUGACGCUGAGGCGCGAAAGCCAGGGGAGCAAACGGG